GUGUCAUUCAGCAAUGCCAACUUUUGUACUCCACACACUGACUGCAUGCAUUUUGGUUAAAGAAGAUGUUGUCCUAUUCCCUGCUAGCUCAGCCAUGCGAAAUCUCAUUCAAUCUCGAUUUUUGGAAUAAGUUCAACAUACCACAUCAUGUAGAUCCAGGGUGAACCAUGAAAAACAACAGGAGUUAUUACUCAAGGCCGGAGCACACCCUCUAUUUCCCAUUCUAUCUCCUGCUAGGACUUGUAGCCUGUUUCAAGAGAAGGGAAACAUGCCCUGACACCAGCACUGUCCAGGAUAAAGACGGCUUCUGCAAGGCGCCCUCAUCAUGGGGGUGGAAGGGGGAGGAUGGGCAGAGGAAAAGAGGAAGAUGGAUGAAAGGCUGGGUGUAAUAUGAUGAAGAGUGGUGAGGGGAAGAUAAGCGAGAGACAGAAGAUAGUUCUUUCUCAGUUUGAUGAACAGUAGCAGCGGGGGGCCUGGAGAAAAACAGAAGAGAACAAUUGGAUGGAGCGGAGGAGGAGAGGUGAAAUGAACACCCUUCGUAGAACAACAGAUGGGCUGUUGAAGGGAUGGAGGCGAUGAAAGGGUGGAAAUUUAAAAGGCAAAGGGGAUCUGCAGUUGAAAAGGUCACAUUGAGGUGGUUUGUUUAUGUGGCAGGCAGCUUGAAUGAUGAUGUACUCUGCAAACAUGAGGAAAUGUUGCGCCUUGAGGUGCUGCCUGAAUUUAACAGCCCUCUGCAAAUGUCUCUGAUGGACCACAACUGUCGGACAGCACCUUCAGUCACUAGGAGUAAAGGACAGUCAAGUAAAUAAUGACUUAUUCAGUGUAUUAUGUAUCAUAGAUCCAGUCAUUUUAUUUGCCUGAGCCAGAAUAACCUACGGUUGUUUGGACAGCACUACCACAUAUUGGCUUGUGUUUAUACUUCUCACGCCUGUUGCUAAUGGAACACAUGUGGUCUAUACACAAUAUUGCCAGUCAAACGACUGGCUUUAUAUCUGCAUGUUGAUUAAACGACUUCAGUUGAUUUAAACUGCUCUGCACAUAAAACCGACACCAGUGUGGUAGUUUAGCAGUAUUAGCUUCCUCCCUCUCUGAGUACAACUCAAGGUAAACUGUCAGCACCACGGCUUGAACCCGGGGCCCUCUGCCUUACUAUCAUAUGACCGCCCGCUUGAUCCAAUUCCAUAGCACUAUUGGCGGCAUUUCGAGCUAACUGUGUCGUUAGCUUACAGCACUUCCUUGUCUCCGUUACACACACUGUGACAGAGUUUGAUCCUCUACAUCCAUUAUUAUCCAUGUGCCGUGCGUCACAUCUAUGUUCAUAAUAAACAGCCUUUCCAACGUAGGCUUUCCAAUUAUUCCCU
Molecule: long non-coding RNA, 1361 nt
Organism: Oncorhynchus tshawytscha (Chinook salmon)
Lineage: Eukaryota; Metazoa; Chordata; Actinopteri; Salmoniformes; Salmonidae
Source: Ensembl